UCCCUAGUGGCUCAGAUGGUAAAGCAUCUGCCUACAAUGUGGGAGACCCAGGUUCGAUUCAUGGGUUGGGAA
This 72-nucleotide transfer RNA is filed under the name Ovis aries (sheep). It matches the Rfam family "tRNA". From Rfam's summary of the family: Transfer RNA (tRNA) molecules are approximately 80 nucleotides in length. Their secondary structure includes four short double-helical elements and three loops (D, anti-codon, and T loops). The record is from Rfam by way of RNAcentral. Lineage: Eukaryota; Metazoa; Chordata; Mammalia; Artiodactyla; Bovidae.